CAGCCGCCGCGGUAAUACGGAGGGUCCGAGCGUUAAUCGGAAUUACUGGGCGUAAAGCGUGCGUAGGCGGCUUUUUAAGUCGGAUGUGAAAUCCCUGAGCUUAACUUAGGAAUUGCAUUCGAUACUGGGAAGCUAGAGUAUGGGAGAGGAUGGUAGAAUUCCAGGUGUAGCGGUGAAAUGCGUAGAGAUCUGGAGGAAUACCGAUGGCGAAGGCAGCCAUCUGGCCUAAUACUGACGCUGAGGUACGAAAGCAUGGGGAGCAAACAGGAUUAGAUACCCCCGUAGUCCCUGUCUCUUAUAC
This 301-nucleotide ribosomal RNA is filed under the name uncultured bacterium. Its description in RNAcentral is "partial 16S ribosomal RNA". It matches the Rfam family "Bacterial small subunit ribosomal RNA", at positions 509 to 807 of the family's 1533-position model. The record is from RNAcentral.